This 765-nucleotide ribosomal RNA is filed under the name uncultured Streptococcus sp. Its description in RNAcentral is "bacterial SSU rRNA". It matches the Rfam family "Bacterial small subunit ribosomal RNA", at positions 28 to 776 of the family's 1533-position model. Lineage: Bacteria; Bacillati; Bacillota; Bacilli; Lactobacillales; Streptococcaceae. The record is from RNAcentral.
GACGAACGCUGGCGGCGUGCCUAAUACAUGCAAGUAGAACGCUGAAGGAAGGAGCUUGCUCUUUCCGGAUGAGUUGCGAACGGGUGAGUAACGCGUAGGUAACCUGCCUGGUAGUGGGGGAUAACUAUUGGAAACGAUAGCUAAUACCGCAUAACAGUAGAUAUCGCAUGAUAACUACUUGAAAGGUGCAAUUGCACCACUACCAGAUGGACCUGCGUUGUAUUAGCUAGUUGGUGAGGUAACGGCUCACCAAGGCAACGAUACAUAGCCGACCUGAGAGGGUGAUCGGCCACACUGGGACUGAGACACGGCCCAGACUCCUACGGGAGGCAGCAGUAGGGAAUCUUCGGCAAUGGACGGAAGUCUGACCGAGCAACGCCGCGUGAGUGAAGAAGGUUUUCGGAUCGUAAAGCUCUGUUGUAAGAGAAGAACGAGUGUGAGAGUGGAAAGUUCACACUGUGACGGUAUCUUACCAGAAAGGGACGGCUAACUACGUGCCAGCAGCCGCGGUAAUACGUAGGUCCCGAGCGUUGUCCGGAUUUAUUGGGCGUAAAGCGAGCGCAGGCGGUUAGAUAAGUCUGAAGUUAAAGGCUGUGGCUUAACCAUAGUACGCUUUGGAAACUGUUUAACUUGAGUGCAAGAGGGGAGAGUGGAAUUCCAUGUGUAGCGGUGAAAUGCGUAGAUAUAUGGAGGAACACCGGUGGCGAAAGCGGCUCUCUGGCUUGUAACUGACGCUGAGGCUCGAAAGCGUGGGGAGCAAACAGG